Onychostoma macrolepis is the source of this 1440-nucleotide long non-coding RNA. RefSeq lists it as uncharacterized. Lineage: Eukaryota; Metazoa; Chordata; Actinopteri; Cypriniformes; Cyprinidae. The record is from RefSeq and is a predicted model, not a curated record. The transcript has 5 exons.
UCCUAUAAAAUAUUCGUACAAAAAUAUUUUUGUACAAAAAAUAUUUGCCUAUGGAAUACUUCACCCGCACAGAUUAAUAACCCGCACGUGAGAUCUUCCUUCGCGCCAACGGUGGUUGUCCUGACAACGAGUCUCGCGAGCAGCUGAUUACUUGUAACGGCGUCUUUUCCGUAGUGUCUACUGUAGGAUGGAUAUAAAAGUAUAAAAUACGUUUUGGUUUGACAACAUCGUUCAUAUGUGAACUAUCACAACUGAAGCACAAAGACAUAACAACAUUACACCCCGAGGCCAUUCACAAGUGUGACAAAAGAGAAGAAACGCUUCCCGGAAGAGAAGUUCAUCAGGCGAGGUGGAGACUAGUCGUCUCAUCCAGUUUAGCGGAGAGCGUCAACCCCUAAUUGACAUGAGGAAAAAAUCAUUGAAAAGUGUUCAAUGUACAGAGGAAGCAUUAGGAAAGAGGAGAAGAGAGAUAGAGAAAAGGCACUCAACAGAUGUUGGUUUUUUUUCUCCAUUCUGUCCCCUGAUGGAGUUUGGGUUCCUUGCCACUGUCAUCUUUUGGCGUGCUUAUUUGGGGACGCAUACUAUUCAGCAAUAUUAUUGAUCUGACUCCACUGACACUAUUGGAUGAGGACUGAACUGAGCUAGAUGAUGACACCACUGUUUUCUGCACAACUGCUAUGUAGAUGCAUUGGAAUUAUUUUAUAUUUGAGGAUUUUUAACACUGAUCAGUUAACACUGAUUUCAACUGAACAAUGAUACUUUUUACAGUUUAGAGCUGCUUCACAGCAGAAGUGAAUUCUGUUUGCAUCAUUAUUUUUCUUUUUAUCACUGUAAAGUAAUUAAAAAUAUAUCUGACAAUAUUUAGUACUGGAUAUACACAAAAAUAGAAUAAAUCAGGAUUUAUUUUUUCACAGCACUGUACACCAGCAUUUAUGUUUAGUGUGACAUUAAUGUGUGGAAAUUUACUUUUUUUUUUAGUGUGUGAUUGCUAUUUUGCAAUAUGUGAAGAUUUACAAUAUUAGUGCCAAUUCAGCAUGAAAACAGAGAGAGCUGAGGCAGUGGAAAGAAAUGCGUGUUAUUGUGCAAGGGGUAGUUGCAUGGACUAUCAGUGGAGGGACAGAAAGCUCUGAGAUUUCAUUAUAAAGAUCUUCAUUUGUGUUCUGAAGAUGAACGAAAGACCUGCGGGUUUGGAACGUCAUGAGGACUACUGUAAAUCCAAAAUAGUGCUUCCACAUCUGAGAUGAAGGCAGUCAUAAGAACCAAGCAGAACAAUGAGGAUAAGCUCUUCAAAAGAUGAAACCUGUCUGAAUAAUGAGGGAAGAAAUGUGCAUGAUUGCGUGAUUUGUAAAUAAACACCAAGUACAUUUAGUGCAACUCACAGCCUGUUAUUUUAAGUUUAAAGAAAAGUAAAAUCAUUUAUUGUUGCAUUGCCGUUUGAGA